CCUACGGGGGGCAGCAGUAGGGAAUCUUCCACAAUGGACGAAAGUCUGAUGGAGCAACGCCGCGUGAGUGAAGAAGGGUUUCGGCUCGUAAAGGUCUGUUGGGAGUGAAGAAAGAUAGAGGGAGUAACUGGACUUUAUUUGAAGGUAAUUAAUUAGAAAGGCACGGCUAACUACGUGCCAGCAGCCGCGGGAAUACGUAGGUGGCAAGCGUUGUCAGGAUUUAUUGGGCGUAAAGCGAGUGGAGGCGG
This 248-nucleotide ribosomal RNA is filed under the name uncultured bacterium. RNAcentral's name for it is "partial 16S ribosomal RNA". It matches the Rfam family "Bacterial small subunit ribosomal RNA", at positions 338 to 578 of the family's 1533-position model. The record is from RNAcentral.